GAAACAUUUAUAGCCCAUCUGUGAGCUACGUCGAUUAUUUUGUCUUUGAAGCUUAUAAACAGGAGGGAUAUUGGUCCGUGCUAGUGAAUUUUCCAUUCAGCUUGAAAAGAAUGAGGGACAUAAUGGAUGAGAUAAAGAAAAAGUUAAAUAACGACCAGAUGGUGCUGAAGAAAAUAUUGCUCGGCUUGUCAGCAAAGACUCUCUAUUUUGAGCUUGUGGAUUCAAAGUUUAACAAAAUUGGAUCUGUGUUUAAUUACAAUCCAUUAAUCAAGCCACCUUACACCUCAUACUCUGACGUUUGUACGUCAUUACGGGAAAAAAAUGUUACUGUGGUCCGUAAUAAUGAAACUCAGAAUUAUUUUUAUUAUGGGCGUGUUUGGCAG
This is a long non-coding RNA of Neocloeon triangulifer, 383 nucleotides long. RefSeq lists it as uncharacterized. The transcript is spliced from 3 exons. NCBI's taxonomy places the organism in Eukaryota, Metazoa, Arthropoda, Insecta, Ephemeroptera, Baetidae. The record is from RefSeq and is a predicted model, not a curated record.